GUAUGCCUACUACGAGAUUUGAGAAAUGGAGUCUGGUUCUAGACUCGUCACUACCUCGCCAAGGUUAGGCCAGACACUUACCAGCACAUAGGGUCGGCUGUGUUGAUGCUACACUCUGCACGUAUGGGCAGAUAGUAGAGCAACAUUUGGGAAGCAACAUUAGUUCGGGAGCUAGCGUUCAGUCCAUCAAGACUCCGAGGUAGCCUUGCAGGCAUCCGUAGGCCAGGCGUCUCCUCUAUCUUAUGUUUCAUCUAUGAUCUCACGUAUUCGAGACGAACAAUGUUUUAUUUCUUUCAAACGAUUGUAUUUUGCACUCUUAAUAGUCCGUGGAUGUUGUGACACCAGGUGUUGGGCAGAGACUUGUAUUUGUU
This 371-nucleotide long non-coding RNA is filed under the name Nicotiana benthamiana. Its description in RNAcentral is "long non-coding RNA (NBEN_LNC026561)". Lineage: Eukaryota; Viridiplantae; Streptophyta; Magnoliopsida; Solanales; Solanaceae. The record is from RNAcentral.